RNAcentral lists this ribosomal RNA (1343 nucleotides) under uncultured bacterium. RNAcentral describes it as "16S ribosomal RNA". It matches the Rfam family "Bacterial small subunit ribosomal RNA", at positions 28 to 1378 of the family's 1533-position model. The record is from RNAcentral.
GACGAACGCUGGCGGCGUGCUUAACACAUGCAAGUCGAACGGAAAGGCCCUGCUUUUGUGGGGUGCUCGAGUGGCGAACGGGUGAGUAACACGUGAGUAACCUGCCCUUGACUUUGGGAUAACUUCAGGAAACUGGGGCUAAUACCGGAUAGGAGCUCCUGCUGCAUGGUGGGGGUUGGAAAGUUUCGGCGGUUGGGGAUGGACUCGCGGCUUAUCAGCUUGUUGGUGGGGUAGUGGCUUACCAAGGCUUUGACGGGUAGCCGGCCUGAGAGGGUGACCGGCCACAUUGGGACUGAGAUACGGCCCAGACUCCUACGGGAGGCAGCAGUGGGGAAUAUUGCACAAUGGGCGGAAGCCUGAUGCAGCAACGCCGCGUGCGGGAUGACGGCCUUCGGGUUGUAAACCGCUUUCGCCUGUGACGAAGCGUGAGUGACGGUAAUGGGUAAAGAAGCACCGGCUAACUACGUGCCAGCAGCCGCGGUGAUACGUAGGGUGCGAGCGUUGUCCGGAUUUAUUGGGCGUAAAGGGCUCGUAGGUGGUUGAUCGCGUCGGAAGUGUAAUCUUGGGGCUUAACCCUGAGCGUGCUUUCGAUACGGGUUGACUUGAGGAAGGUAGGGGAGAAUGGAAUUCCUGGUGGAGCGGUGGAAUGCGCAGAUAUCAGGAGGAACACCAGUGGCGAAGGCGGUUCUCUGGGCCUUUCCUGACGCUGAGGAGCGAAAGCGUGGGGAGCGAACAGGCUUAGAUACCCUGGUAGUCCACGCUGUAAACGGUGGGUACUAGGUGUGGGGUCCAUUCCACGGGUUCCGUGCCGUAGCUAACGCUUUAAGUACCCCGCCUGGGGAGUACGGCCGCAAGGCUAAAACUCAAAGGAAUUGACGGGGCCCCGCACAAGCGGCGGAGCAUGCGGAUUAAUUCGAUGCAACGCGUAGAACCUUACCUGGGUUUGACAUGGAUCGGGAGUGCUCAGAGAUGGGUGUGCCUCUUUUGGGGUCGGUUCACAGGUGGUGCAUGCCUGUCGUCAGCUCGUGUCGUGAGAUGUUGGGUUAAGUCCCGCAACGAGCGCAACCCUUGUUCACUGUUGCCAGCACGUUAUGGUGGGGACUCAGUGGAGACCGCCGGGGUCAACUCGGAGGAAGGUGGGGAUGACGUCAAGUCCUCAUGCCCCUUAUGUCCAGGGCUUCACGCAUGCUACAAUGGCUGGUACAGAGAGUGGCGAGCCUGUGAGGGUGAGCGAAUCUCGGAAAGCCGGUCUCAGUUCGGAUUGGGGUCUGCAACUCGACCUCAAGAAGUCGGAGUCGCUAGUAAUCGCAGAUCAGCAACGCUGCGGUGAAUACGUUCCCGGG